This 2259-nucleotide ribosomal RNA is filed under the name Salmonella enterica. Its description in RNAcentral is "partial 23S ribosomal RNA". Lineage: Bacteria; Pseudomonadati; Pseudomonadota; Gammaproteobacteria; Enterobacterales; Enterobacteriaceae. The record is from RNAcentral.
GGGCGUUAAGUUGCAGGGUAUAGACCCGAAACCCGGUGAUCUAGCCAUGGGCAGGUUGAAGGUUGGGUAACACUAACUGGAGGACCGAACCGACUAAUGUUGAAAAAUUAGCGGAUGACCUGUGGCUGGGGGUGAAAGGCCAAUCAAACCGGGAGAUAGCUGGUUCUCCCCGAAAGCUAUUUAGGUAGCGCCUCGUGAAUUCAUCUCCGGGGGUAGAGCACUGUUUCGGCUAGGGGGCCAUCCCGGCUUACCAACCCGAUGCAAACUGCGAAUACCGGAGAAUGUUAUCACGGGAGACACACGGCGGGUGCUAACGUCCGUCGUGAAGAGGGAAACAACCCAGACCGCCAGCUAAGGUCCCAAAGUCAUGGUUAAGUGGGAAACGAUGUGGGAAGGCCCAGACAGCCAGGAUGUUGGCUUAGAAGCAGCCAUCAUUUAAAGAAAGCGUAAUAGCUCACUGGUCGAGUCGGCCUGCGCGGAAGAUGUAACGGGGCUAAACCAUGCACCGAAGCUGCGGCAGCGACRCUAUGYGUUGUUGGGUAGGGGAGCGUUCUGUAAGCCUGYGAAGGUGGCCUGUGAGGGUUGCUGGAGGUAUCAGAAGUGCGAAUGCUGACAUAAGUAACGAUAAAGCGGGUGAAAAGCCCGCUCGCCGGAAGACCAAGGGUUCCUGUCCAACGUUAAUCGGGGCAGGGUGAGUCGACCCCUAAGGCGAGGCCGAAAGGCGUAGUCGAUGGGAAACGGGUUAAUAUUCCCGUACUUGGUGUUACUGCGAAGGGGGGACGGAGAAGGCUAUGUUGGCCGGGCGACGGUUGUCCCGGUUUAAGCGUGUAGGUGUGUGUUCCAGGUAAAUCCGGUUCACUUUAACACUGAGGCGUGAUGACGAGGCACUACGGUGCUGAAGCAACAAAUGCCCUGCUUCCAGGAAAAGCCUCUAAGCAUCAGGUAACAUCAAAUCGUACCCCAAACCGACACAGGUGGUCAGGUAGAGAAUACCAAGGCGCUUGAGAGAACUCGGGUGAAGGAACUAGGCAAAAUGGUGCCGUAACUUCGGGAGAAGGCACGCUGACACGUAGGUGAAGUGAUUUACUCAUGGAGCUGAAGUCAGUCGAAGAUACCAGCUGGCUGCAACUGUUUAUUAAAAACACAGCACUGUGCAAACACGAAAGUGGACGUAUACGGUGUGACGCCUGCCCGGUGCCGGAAGGUUAAUUGAUGGGGUCAGCGCAAGCGAAGCUCCUGAUCGAAGCCCCGGUAAACGGCGGCCGUAACUAUAACGGUCCUAAGGUAGCGAAAUUCCUUGUCGGGUAAGUUCCGACCUGCACGAAUGGCGUAAUGAUGGCCAGGCUGUCUCCACCCGAGACUCAGUGAAAUUGAACUCGCUGUGAAGAUGCAGUGUACCCGCGGCAAGACGGAAAGACCCCGUGAACCUUUACUAUAGCUUGACACUGAACAUUGAGCCUUGAUGUGUAGGAUAGGUGGGAGGCUUUGAAGUGUGGACGCCAGUCUGCAUGGAGCCGGCCUUGAAAUACCACCCUUUAAUGUUUGAUGUUCUAACGUGGACCCGUGAUCCGGGUUGCGGACAGUGUCUGGUGGGUAGUUUGACUGGGGCGGUCUCCUCCUAAAGAGUAACGGAGGAGCACGAAGGUUGGCUAAUCCUGGUCGGACAUCAGGAGGUUAGUGCAAUGGCAUAAGCCAGCUUGACUGCGAGCGUGACGGCGCGAGCAGGUGCGAAAGCAGGUCAUAGUGAUCCGGUGGUUCUGAAUGGAAGGGCCAUCGCUCAACGGAUAAAAGGUACUCCGGGGAUAACAGGCUGAUACCGCCCAAGAGUUCAUAUCGACGGCGGUGUUUGGCACCUCGAUGUCGGCUCAUCACAUCCUGGGGCUGAAGUAGGUCCCAAGGGUAUGGCUGUUCGCCAUUUAAAGUGGUACGCGAGCUGGGUUUAGAACGUCGUGAGACAGUUCGGUCCCUAUCUGCCGUGGGCGCUGGAGAACUGAGGGGGGCUGCUCCUAGUACGAGAGGACCGGAGUGGACGCAUCACUGGUGUUCGGGUUGUCAUGCCAAUGGCACUGCCCGGUAGCUAAAUGCGGAAGAGAUAAGUGCUGAAAGCAUCUAAGCACGAAACUUGCCCCGAGAUGAGUUCUCCCUGAGACUUAGAGUCUCCUGAAGGAACGUUGAAGACGACGACGUUGAUAGGCCGGGUGUGUAAGCGCAGCGAUGCGUUGAGCUAACCGGUACUAAUGAACCGUGAGGCUUAACCUU